UAUUGAAAUUUUAAAUAAUAAUUUAUUUUAUUAUAAAAUUUUAUUUAAUUAAAAAAAUACAUGAAAAUUUUUAUAGGAUAUUAAAUUCUUAAAGAAUUUAAAAUGAUCUCAGUAUUUAAUAUUAAAUAUUAAUGAAAUUUAGAUUUAAUUAUUAAUUUAAGUAUAAACUAAAUAUGUGCCAGCAGUUGCGGUUAAACAUAAUAUAUAAAUAAAAUAAUUUGGUUAUUAGUAUAAAAUAAUUUAAAUAAUUUAAUUUUUAAUUUAAGGUAAAAUUUUAUUUAUAAUUAAUAUUGUAAUUAUUUUAUUCUAUUAAACUUUAUUUAAAACUAGGAUUAGAUACCCUAUUAUAAAAGUUUAAAAUUUAUUACUAAAAAAUUAAUAGUUAAUUUCUUUAAAUUUAAAAAAUUUGGCGGUAUUUUAUUCUUAUUAGAGGAACCUGUUUUUUAAUUGAUAAUCCACGAUUAAUUUUACUUAUUUUUGAAAUUCAUAUAUCGCUGUCAUGAAUAUAUUUUAAGAUGUAUUUUCUUUAAUUAAUUUAAUAAUUAAUGUUAAGUCAAGAUGUGGUUUAUAUAUAAGUAAAUAAUGGGUUACAAUAAAUUUAAUUUUUGGAUUUUUAUAUGAAAUUUUAAAAUAAAAAUGGAUUUAAUAGUAAGGUUAAUUAUUUUAUUAAUAUGAAUAUAGAUCUAAAAUAUGUACAUAUUGCCCGUCAUUCUUAUUAAAAAUAAGACAAGUCGUAACAAAGUAAAUGUACUGGAAAGUGUAUUUAGAAAGA
This 772-nucleotide non-coding RNA is filed under the name Nurudea shiraii. The record is from RNAcentral. Lineage: Eukaryota; Metazoa; Arthropoda; Insecta; Hemiptera; Aphididae.